AUAAGACGUGCAUCAUGUGACCCUAGCUAACAGGAAAACUUCUCCCUUGAGAUGGUUCUAUGACUGGAAAAUCUGACAAACACUGUGGCGGAUAUUAAAACUCUUACAAUGGAUAUUAAAGAUCAAUUCCUGUGACUGACUGCACUGCCAGCCAGAGCUGUUGGAAUGUCAAUAGCUGUAAAACCUGGGCUACAUGAAUUAUGCAUGGUGCACCAAAACACUGCUACUUCCAACUGAUUCCAAAAUUAAUCGGACAGUCCCGUUACAGCAACAAUUGUUUAGAAAAUUCUUUAACAGUAAAUGACCUUAUUCUUAGAAGAAAUGAUAGCAGCAACAACACAAAAUGACAAUCAUAUAAACCAUGAAAUUACUAUCAGAGAUGUUCUUCAUACAUGUAUCACCAACUGUUUAGCAGUACCCCAAGGACCUUAGACUACUGUAGCAAGAACCUUACAGUAUUCCCAAUCUUAAUUAAAUACAUCUUAUUCAGGACUGAUGUCAAGGGCAUGUAAUCCCCCAUCACUAAUCCCUCUUCAGUCAAGUGGCAAAAAUUACAGGGAUUACCAUGGAUUGACUAAGACUUUACUAUCAGG
Long non-coding RNA from Ruditapes philippinarum (Manila clam), 593 nucleotides. RefSeq lists it as uncharacterized. The transcript is spliced from 3 exons. Lineage: Eukaryota; Metazoa; Mollusca; Bivalvia; Venerida; Veneridae. The record is from RefSeq and is a predicted model, not a curated record.